GUCCUCUGGACUGCAAGUUGAGACUCCCGGUCCCAGGAGGGACAGCAAGGCCUUCUCCACCUUCACAGGCCAUCUGACUACCUGCGCAGCUGUUUAAAGAGCAAACCGCGCAUGAGUUAGGCCGCUUGGCCCUCCCAUUCAGACCCCUCAGGCCGCCUGUGGACAGCCUGGCUCACCCUCUAAGAGCCUUCCUGCCCGCCCUGGGAACACACACCGCAGGGUCCAGGGACUGGCGUCAGGAGCAGAGCGAACUCAGCGCCACCUGGGCUCCAGGCCAGGCUCUGCUCCAGGACUGGCCCCUCCCCGAUUCCCAUCCCUGAAGCCAGGGCCACUGGGGUUAUAGUGAACCGCUUCUGAGGACACGUGCAGCUAAGGGUGCUCAGUGGUCGCGGGCUCUUCUUUAGCUUUGUCUGCAUAUCAGC
RNAcentral lists this long non-coding RNA (422 nucleotides) under Homo sapiens (human). RNAcentral's name for it is "HSALNT0028316". The record is from RNAcentral. Lineage: Eukaryota; Metazoa; Chordata; Mammalia; Primates; Hominidae.